Molecule: unclassified non-coding RNA, 346 nt
Filed under: Hevea brasiliensis (rubber tree)
Lineage: Eukaryota; Viridiplantae; Streptophyta; Magnoliopsida; Malpighiales; Euphorbiaceae
Source: RNAcentral
AUAUAAAAAUAUGAAUAAAAUUUACACAAAGAUAAAAAUAUUGAAGGGGAAAUUGUAAUUAUUCAAAAAAUACACUAAAAUUUAUAGGUAGGGGGGCAAAUGGCAUUUUUUCUAAAAAAAAAACAUUAAAAUUAGGGAUAAAAUUUUAAUUUUGAAAACCCAUGCGCUAUGUAGUCCCCUGUGUGUCUACAUGGCUCUCAACCAUGGUUUUAAAAUUGCGGUCGUAGAUAACGGAAAUAGGCUUGUAAUGGCCGUGAUGUAACAGUAAUGCUAACAGCAUGUUGCUAUGCGAAAUUUUUCUGAAAAUUUACAAAGUUCAUGCAAUGAAUAGAUAUUUAAAAAUAUA